This 72-nucleotide transfer RNA is filed under the name Ornithorhynchus anatinus (platypus). It matches the Rfam family "tRNA". From Rfam's summary of the family: Transfer RNA (tRNA) molecules are approximately 80 nucleotides in length. Their secondary structure includes four short double-helical elements and three loops (D, anti-codon, and T loops). Lineage: Eukaryota; Metazoa; Chordata; Mammalia; Monotremata; Ornithorhynchidae. The record is from Rfam by way of RNAcentral.
AGCAGCGUGGCUCAGUGGAAAGAGCACGGGCUUGGGAGUCAGCGAUCAUGGGUUCGAAUCCCAACUCUGCCA